RNAcentral lists this ribosomal RNA (253 nucleotides) under uncultured bacterium. RNAcentral's name for it is "partial 16S ribosomal RNA". It matches the Rfam family "Bacterial small subunit ribosomal RNA", at positions 524 to 776 of the family's 1533-position model. The record is from RNAcentral.
UACGGAAGGGGCAAGCGUUGUUCGGAAUCAUUGGGCGUAAAGGGCGCGUAGGUGGUUUUGUAUGUCUAUCGUGAAAGCAUACAGCUCAACUGUAUUACGUCGGUAGAAACUGCAAGACUUGAGGCUGGGAGGGGCUGGUGGAAUUCCCCGUGUAGCGGUGAAAUGCGUAGAGAUGGGGGAGAACACUCGUGGCGAAGGCGGCCAGCUAGACCAGUUCUGACACUGAGGCGCGAUAGCGUGGGGAGCAAACAGG